AGUGAACGCUGGCGGUAGGCCUAACACAUGCAAGUCGAACGGCAGCACAGGAGAGCUUGCUCUCUGGGUGGCGAGUGGCGGACGGGUGAGGAAUACAUCGGAAUCUACUCUGUCGUGGGGGAUAACGUAGGGAAACUUACGCUAAUACCGCAUACGACCUACGGGUGAAAGCAGGGGACCUUCGGGCCUUGCGCGAUUGAAUGAGCCGGUGUCGGAUGAGCUAGUUGGCGGGGUAAAGGCCCACCAAGGCGACGAUCCGUAGCUGGUCUGAGAGGAUGAUCAGCCACACUGGAACUGAGACACGGUCCAGACUCCUACGGGAGGCAGCAGUGGGGAAUAUUGGACAAUGGGCGCAAGCCUGAUCCAGCCAUACCGCGUGGGUGAAGAAGGCCUUCGGGUUGUAAAGCCCUUUGUUGGGAAAGAAAUCCAGCUGGCUAAUACCCGGUUGGGAUGACGGUACCCAAAGAAUAAGCACCGGCUAACUUCGUGCCAGCAGCCGCCGUAA
This 505-nucleotide ribosomal RNA is filed under the name uncultured bacterium. RNAcentral's name for it is "partial 16S ribosomal RNA". It matches the Rfam family "Bacterial small subunit ribosomal RNA", at positions 29 to 523 of the family's 1533-position model. The record is from RNAcentral.